RNAcentral lists this ribosomal RNA (498 nucleotides) under uncultured bacterium. Its description in RNAcentral is "partial 16S ribosomal RNA". It matches the Rfam family "Bacterial small subunit ribosomal RNA", at positions 28 to 523 of the family's 1533-position model. The record is from RNAcentral.
GAUGAACGCUAGCGGCAGGCUUAAUACAUGCAAGUCGAACGGUAAAUGUUGUAGCAAUAUAGCACGAGAGUGACGUACGGGUGCGUAACACGUAUGCAACCUACCUUGUACAGGAGUAUAGCUCGGGGAAACUCGAAUUAACACUCCAUAAUGUAAUGAUGAGGCAUCUCAUUAUUACUAAAACUCCGGUGGUACAAGAUGGGCAUGCGUCUGAUUAGUUAGUUGGCGGUGUAACGGACCACCAAGACGAUGAUCAGUAGGGGACCUGAGAGGGUGAUCCCCCACACUGGCACUGAGAUACGGGCCAGACUCCUACGGGAGGCAGCAGUAGGGAAUAUUGGUCAAUGGAUGCAAGUCUGAACCAGCCAUGCCGCGUGCAGGAAGAAGGCGUUAUGCGUUGUAAACUGCUUUUGCCAGGGGAUAAAAUGAGCGUGCGCGCUUAAUUGAAGGUACCUGGUGAAUAAGCCACGGCUAACUACGUGCCAGCCGCCGCAGUAA